RNAcentral lists this long non-coding RNA (1531 nucleotides) under Mytilus galloprovincialis (Mediterranean mussel). Lineage: Eukaryota; Metazoa; Mollusca; Bivalvia; Mytilida; Mytilidae. The record is from RNAcentral.
UAUUUUUACAAUUUACUACUGGUACAUCAAUUAGAUUGCAGUACCGGUACCUCAUAUCUACUAAACCAAAUACAUGUAUAAAUCAAAUAUACCCACAUGUUAUGUCAUCCUAUCUACUAUUUAUUAUCUUAGAUAUCAAAAGUUUUACAAAGAAAGUAAAAAAAAAAUCCCCCCCCCCUGUUUGGUUUUAAACAGAUAUUAGUUAAAAUAUUGAUAUGCAGGAAUGUAUCAUUUGUGCAGUACAGUAGUAAGGUAACAUAUUCGGGGGGGGGGGGGGGAGGUAUUGUUGUCAUACAUAUGUCGUUGUUCCAGACAAAUCAUUUAUCAUGUCAAAAUCAUGAUACAGAAGGAAAUUUCCAUAUGCACGAUCAGAAUUUUACAGAAAAUAUUUCUUACUGAAUAGAGAAAAAUAGAACAUCUUCCCCUACUCCCCUUUUCAUGACCCUCGUAAAUCGGUUAGUUUUGUUUGUUUUAUUUAAACUGUUUUUUAAUUUUCGAAAAUAAUAUUUGUACAAGGUGUUGUUAAUAACUGUAAUGGACAUUAAAUAUAUAUGCCAUGCCUUCUCACACGACGUCGUACUUUUUAUUUUCUCUUCCUGUGCAAUAUGAUAUUAAACUCAUUAUGCAGAGCAAUUUUUAUGACUACUUGCAUAAUUGUUAAAUCGUAUUAAACAUGUUAAAUUCUGUAUCAGAUUUAUAUUAUUAUUAAAGUUACAUAUAUCUUGAAUAUUGAAAACGGAUUCAAAUUAUUUACUGGCUUUCAUAUUGAUUUAAACAUAUUUGGUUUGUCGUUUUUUUUGGGUUUUUUUUUCCAUUGUAGAUGUGAGAAAAAAGCAGCUCAGUUUCUCUUAAAAUUGUCACAUGGUGUCUUAUGUCGUCUGAAUACAAAAUGUAUGUUAUUGAUCCGUAAUAAUUAUCUUUUCAAAAUGUUUAUUUGGCACGCCAUACUCGAUAGAAGUGCGGACGUGAAAGAAAGCACUCUUCACGUAAACGUCAACAAAGAUUGCAUUUUAUCUUUUAAAAAAAUACAAAAUAUAGAUCUAAAUAAAGAAAUAUAAAAAAUAUAUAUAUACAUAUUUAUAAGAAGAUACGGGUAAAUAACUCAAGUAUUUCAAGAUCUUUCUCUUAUAAUAUCUAUUAGGUUCUAUAUUUCUUAUAAUAACACAAAUUAUUUGCCGACUUUAUAUUCUGUGACUUUUUGUCAAGACUGUGGUUACAGAUGCUUACUAAAUGCUACUUGUCAUCUUAUUUAUCAUAGAUUCUUUUUUUUAUGUUUUACAUUAUUUCUUAAGAGAUAAAACUGCGUUUUAGAGAAGUUUGGUAUACGUUUUAGUUUUCAAACAACUAUUUUACCACUUACGUCACUGAGAAAAAAAUACUCAGCUGAGAAAAAAAAUUCUCAGCUGAGAAUAUUCUCAACGUUGAGAAUAUUUUUUUAUGGCGGAUAAAAAAGUUCUCAUUCUUAGCUGAGUAAAAUAAUUCAUUCUGAGAAUAUUUUUUUACUCAGCAAAAAAAAGUUUUAUGGCGCCGG